GCGGAUAUGGCGGAAUUGGCAGACGCGCACGGUUCAGGUCCGUGUGAGAGCUUUCUCAUGGAGGUUCAAGUCCUCUUAUCCGCACCA
RNAcentral lists this transfer RNA (87 nucleotides) under Christensenellaceae bacterium. RNAcentral describes it as "tRNA-Leu". It matches the Rfam family "tRNA". From Rfam's summary of the family: Transfer RNA (tRNA) molecules are approximately 80 nucleotides in length. Their secondary structure includes four short double-helical elements and three loops (D, anti-codon, and T loops). Lineage: Bacteria; Bacillati; Bacillota; Clostridia; Christensenellales; Christensenellaceae. The record is from RNAcentral.